GGUUGGUCCGAAGGUAGUGGGCAUUCACAAUUGAUUGCUACAGUCAGUUACAGAAAUCCUCGUUUCUUCUCUCCCCUCGUUCACUACUGGCUUUGACCGACCUUUU
This is an unclassified non-coding RNA of Paramormyrops kingsleyae, 106 nucleotides long. It matches the Rfam family "Y RNA". From Rfam's summary of the family: Y RNAs are components of the Ro ribonucleoprotein particle (Ro RNP), in association with Ro60 and La proteins. NCBI's taxonomy places the organism in Eukaryota, Metazoa, Chordata, Actinopteri, Osteoglossiformes, Mormyridae. The record is from Ensembl.